ACCUCAUUGGCUUAGGGGCAAAGCGUCUGUCUAAUGAACAGAAAAUCUCUGGUUUGAUUCCAGCAUGAGGCA
Non-coding RNA from Angiostrongylus cantonensis (rat lungworm), 72 nucleotides. The record is from Rfam. NCBI's taxonomy places the organism in Eukaryota, Metazoa, Nematoda, Chromadorea, Rhabditida, Metastrongylidae.